CCAUUUUUCUUUGAUUCCUUCAAAGUCCCAAAACUGGACGAACACUCCUUGUUUCUAGGCCGUCAUCCUCAUCAGAAAAGCUCUGUGAAUCUGCAGCGCUAACAGGAAUGACCUGCAGCGUGGAUGUCGGCAGUUUCAUGCAAGAGCGCACCUGUGGAACCCUGUACAUCUGUCAGCACCCAGGAUCAGCUGCUGCUGUGACAGGUUUCCCAGAGACUAUGGGUUGAGGAGGAAUUGGAAAUCUGUCGGCUUAGACCUGGUGUCAUUCCAUCAAUGUUAAACUUCCCGGCUCAUCUUGGAAGAGUACGUGCCAGAAAGACCACGACCAAGCAGCCUUGAGAUCUUAGGCAGCGUCUCCCUGAGGUCCCUCUCUAUCUCCCCACACAUCCACCAACCACUGGAACACAUCUCCAAAGUUCUGCUGGACCAGCUCAGCUUCCCCUCAGAAGAAGUGCCGCCACCUGCCAGAUGAAGGAGCCUUUUGAGAGGCAGCUGGCAUCGUGAUUGGACUGUACUUUGGUCUGUUCCAAUCCAGCUUCAGCACCAGAGACGGCAGGCGGGACGAGUCAACGGAGGCCGGGUGGACGAAGACAUGCAGCUGAGUACAAUCCAGAAAACAACAGAGGAGGAGUGCAG
Amphiprion ocellaris (clown anemonefish) is the source of this 636-nucleotide long non-coding RNA. NCBI's taxonomy places the organism in Eukaryota, Metazoa, Chordata, Actinopteri, Pomacentridae. The record is from Ensembl.